Molecule: ribosomal RNA, 522 nt
Filed under: Portunus reticulatus
Lineage: Eukaryota; Metazoa; Arthropoda; Malacostraca; Decapoda; Portunidae
Description: partial large subunit ribosomal RNA
Rfam family: Bacterial large subunit ribosomal RNA
Source: RNAcentral
GUCUAUUAUGAAUUUAUUUAUAGUCUAGCCUGCUCACUGAUAAAAUUAUUAAAUAGCCGCGGUAUCUUGACCGUGCAAAGGUAGCAUAAUCAUUAGUUUUUUAAUUGGAAACUAGCAUGAAUGGUUGGACAAAGAAAAAGCUGUCUCUUUCAUUAAAAUUGAAUUUAACUUCUAAGUGAAAAGGCUUAGAUAUCUUAGAGGGACGAUAAGACCCUAUAAAGCUUUAUAAAUUCAAAGAUUUUAUAUAUUUUUUUUAAUAAUGAUAAUUUUUCAAAAAUUUAUUGGGUUGGGGCAACAGAAGUAUAAUUAUCAAUAACUGCUAUAAAGUAUUACAAUUAUUUUUGUUAUUAGAGAGUUGUUGAUCCUCGAAAGGGAUUAAAAGAUCAAGUUACUUUAGGGAUAACAGCGUAAUUUAUCUUGAGAGUUCUUAUCAAAGGAUAAGUUUGCGACCUCGAUGUUGAAUUAAAAUGUCUUUAUAGUGCAGCAGCUAUACAAGAAGGUCUGUUCGACCUUUAAUUUUUU